GUCGAGGGGCAGCRYRGUGUAGCAAUACAYKGRYGGCGACCGGCAAACGGGUGCGGAACACGUACAGAACCUUCCUUCGAGCGGGGAAUAGCCCAGAGAAAUUUGGAUUAAUACCCCAUAGUAURUUGRARWGGCAUCWYUUYAAUAUUAAAGAUUUAUCACUUGAAGAUGGCUGUGCGGCUGAUUAGGUAGUUGGCGGGGUAACGGCCCACCAAGCCURCGAUCAGUAACUGGUGUGAGAGCACGACCAGUCACACGGGCACUGAGACACGGGCCCGACUCCUACGGGAGGCAGCAGUAAGGAAUAUUGGUCAAUGGACGMAAGUCUGAACCAGCCAUGCCGCGUGGAGGAUGAAGGUCCUCUGGAUUGUAAACUUCUUUUAUMUGGGACGAAAAARGGYYUUUCUARRUCAWCUGACGGUACCAKAUGAAUAAGCACCGGCUAACUCCGUGCCAGCAGCCGCGGUAAUACGGAGGGUGCAAGCGUUAUCCGGAUUCACUGGGUUUAAAGGGUGCGUAGGUGGGCUGGUAAGUCAGUGGUGAAAUCYCCGAGCUUAACUUGGGAACUGCCAUUGAUACUAUCAGUCUUGAAUAUUGUGGAGGUUAGCGGAAUAUGUCAUGUAGCGGUGAAAUGCUUAGAUAUGACAUAGAACACCAAUUGCGAAGGCAGCUGGCUACGCAUAUAUUGACACUGAGGCACGAAAGCGUGGGGAUCAAACAGGAUUAGAUACCCUGGUAGUCCACGCCCUAAACUAUGGAUACUCGACAUCAGCGAUACACUGUUGGUGUCUGAGCGA
Molecule: ribosomal RNA, 797 nt
Filed under: uncultured bacterium
Lineage: Bacteria
Description: partial 16S ribosomal RNA
Rfam family: Bacterial small subunit ribosomal RNA
Source: RNAcentral